Long non-coding RNA from Xyrauchen texanus (razorback sucker), 202 nucleotides. RefSeq lists it as uncharacterized. NCBI's taxonomy places the organism in Eukaryota, Metazoa, Chordata, Actinopteri, Cypriniformes, Catostomidae. The record is from RefSeq and is a predicted model, not a curated record. The transcript is spliced from 3 exons.
UCACCCUCCACGUCAGACCAAGCCAGCCCUUGGACUCACAUAAGUGGGGACCAACAGGAUAUACAAAUGCUAACAGAAUUACAGGACAUAUCCUGUACACAGCCAGAAGAGAACAUGUCUGUUCCAACUGCUGACCAGUAUGAGCCAAACGAAAAGGUAUGGCAGGACAUAUCCUGGACACAACCAGAAGAGAAUAUGUCUU